This 400-nucleotide ribosomal RNA is filed under the name Escherichia coli. RNAcentral describes it as "partial 23S ribosomal RNA". It matches the Rfam family "Bacterial large subunit ribosomal RNA", at positions 119 to 559 of the family's 2925-position model. The record is from RNAcentral. Lineage: Bacteria; Pseudomonadati; Pseudomonadota; Gammaproteobacteria; Enterobacterales; Enterobacteriaceae.
UGGGGAAACCCAGUGUGAUUCGUCACACUAUCAUUAACUGAAUCCAUAGGUUAAUGAGGCGAACCGGGGGAACUGAAACAUCUAAGUACCCCGAGGAAAAGAAAUCAACCGAGAUUCCCCCAGUAGCGGCGAGCGAACGGGGAGGAGCCCAGAGCCUGAAUCAGUGUGUGUGUUAGUGGAAGCGUCUGGAAAGGCGCGCGAUACAGGGUGACAGCCCCGUACACAAAAAUGCACAUACUGUGAGCUCGAUGAGUAGGGCGGGACACGUGGUAUCCUGUCUGAAUAUGGGGGGACCAUCCUCCAAGGCUAAAUACUCCUGACUGACCGAUAGUGAACCAGUACCGUGAGGGAAAGGCGAAAAGAACCCCGGCGAGGGGAGUGAAAAAGAACCUGAAACCGU